UUAUCAGAUUUGUUGCAAGGUUGUUCCAACAAGUCCGAUACUGUCAUGACAUAACAAUAUUGUUACAACCUUGUGUCGUCAACCUUGUAACAUUCUUGUUAUAUCAUGACUGUAUCAGACUUGUUAGAACAACGUUGCUACAAGUCUGAUAA
This is a non-coding RNA of Paramuricea clavata, 152 nucleotides long. The record is from the annotation of a GenBank genome assembly. NCBI's taxonomy places the organism in Eukaryota, Metazoa, Cnidaria, Anthozoa, Malacalcyonacea, Plexauridae.